GUACAAAAUUGGUACAGCUCUGUUUUGUAUUGAAUGUCAAUAGUUAGCAAGACGAGUUAGUUAGAUAUAAUCAGCUAUAGCCUAGUUCAGUCCGCUCUCAACUUUGGUAUCUGAUUGUAGCCUAUAAUGGCAGUAUCUUACCUUCAUUCGAAAAUUGCCAAACUAUUGUUUUGAUACUGCGACAGCUUCUUAUUCUUCGAGUGGCCUAUAUGUACGACGUGUGGGAGAGGAUAUGGUGUAUUUCGAACAAAUGUACAUUUUACAUGUUUUAUAACGCGUUGGGAACUUCCCUCGGGGAAUCCCCCGCGCCGUGAGACUUCCGCCUUGCUGGACUCUGACCAAUCAACUUUGAGAUAAAUCCAACCCACUUCAAUAGGUCUGAACACAGUCUGUGGGCGAGCAGGUGAGCAGAAUGUCUAGCUGACGGCCCUCCACGCAGGAGUGUGAUGAUUUGUAACUAUGCAGCACAAAUAUGGCCAUUGGAGUCUGAUGUUUCUGCUUGGCUCUGCCUGGGGACUUGUCCUUCACCAGCCUCAUCCAACCUCAACACAACAUAGCAAUUCUUAAUUACUAUUAUAACACUUGUUUAAGGGGGGGGGGUUAUUUUAAUUCAGCCAGAACAACCAAUGUGGUGAGCUGAAAUAGGGUUCAUUAUUGCCCUUGUUUUCCUGGCAAGCAGAUCAGGUGAUAACAUGUGGCAAGAUUAUAAGUGAGAGAUGCCUCUUAAUGUGGUACGUUCAAUGUCUGCAAUCCCCUUUGACUUUAAUUAAAAGGUACUGAGUGUAGGCAACACCGAAGUACAUUCCUCAACUGUCUUCUUAGCUAAAGUACUCAUCUGGAACGUUUAAAUGGCCGGGCCCCAUUUGAAUUAGAACACUGACGGCACAAUCCGUAAAUUAUAUUUCUGCUACACCUGCUACGGCACAGCUUUGAUUAACAGGUUGUAGCAUAGAGGCUAUUACUUCAGCAUGAUACAUUACACCUCCACCACUAGUCCGUCAAUGAAUGCAUGCAUCGCAUGGAUGUCUUCUUCUGAUUUUGCAGAUCUCGGACAAGGAACUCCAGAUGCUUUUACUGCGCCAUGUUCUUUACGUGUGUGUGUGUCAUGAAUGACAUCCACAAAAAGGACACUCCACUUCCUGUUGAGAGGUGGUCUGUCCUGUUGGAUUCAUAGCCCUCUGGAUCUGGACAUAAGCAUGCAAGUAAAUCUUGGCCAAUCUGAUGCCUCCGAAGCAAGUCAAAUAAACAAACUGCUGUAGGUCUGCAGAAACGGGAGAUCAGGCGGAGGGCAGAGCCGAGCGUCAGAAAGCUCAGGCAUGCCAGGGGAAAUGAAGAGGAAUGCACAGAGAAAACUCAAAGAUCAUAUUUCAGGAACCUGGAGAACAAACAAUUUGACAGUGUGUGAAAACCUUGUGAAUACUUACAGAAAACAUUUGGGCUCUGUCAUUGCCAACAAAGGGUAUACAACAAAGUAUUGAGAUAAACUUUUGUUAUUGACCAAAUACUUAUUUUCCACC
This is a long non-coding RNA of Oncorhynchus gorbuscha (pink salmon), 1517 nucleotides long. RefSeq lists it as uncharacterized. The transcript has 3 exons. The record is from RefSeq and is a predicted model, not a curated record. Lineage: Eukaryota; Metazoa; Chordata; Actinopteri; Salmoniformes; Salmonidae.